RNAcentral lists this ribosomal RNA (253 nucleotides) under uncultured bacterium. Its description in RNAcentral is "partial 16S ribosomal RNA". It matches the Rfam family "Bacterial small subunit ribosomal RNA", at positions 524 to 776 of the family's 1533-position model. The record is from RNAcentral.
UACGUAGGAGACGAGCGUUGUCCGGAAUUACUGGGCGUAAAGCGCGUGUAAGCGGAUGGGCAAGUCUGCUGUGAAAGCUCCUGGCUUAACCGGGAGUGGUCGGUGGAAACUGCCAAUCUGGAGGACGGUAGAGGUAGGUAGAAUUCCCGGUGUAGUGGUGAAAUGCGUAGAGAUCGGGAGGAACACCAGUGGCGAAGGCGGUCUCUUGGGGCAUUCUUGACGCUGAGGAGCGAAAGCGUGGGGAGCGAACAGG